Molecule: small nucleolar RNA, 62 nt
Filed under: Microcebus murinus (gray mouse lemur)
Lineage: Eukaryota; Metazoa; Chordata; Mammalia; Primates; Cheirogaleidae
Description: Small nucleolar RNA SNORD77 (ENSMICG00000020997.3)
Rfam family: Small nucleolar RNA SNORD77
About the family: U77 belongs to the C/D family of snoRNAs. It is predicted to guide 2'O-ribose methylation of large 28S rRNA subunit at position A1521. The C/D snoRNAs U44, U47, U74, U75, U76, U78, U79, U80 and U81 share the same host gene as U77 (non-coding).
Source: RNAcentral
AUAAUAAAACAUGCAUAGUUCAGCAGAUAGAAUCAUGAAGAGAUUUACCAUUUGUCUGAUAU